Molecule: long non-coding RNA, 326 nt
Organism: Epinephelus moara (kelp grouper)
Lineage: Eukaryota; Metazoa; Chordata; Actinopteri; Perciformes; Serranidae
Exons: 3
Source: RefSeq, a predicted model, not a curated record
CAUCAUUUCAUAUGUUGGAAACUGGUUACCUCGCUAGGUGACGCUGUCGCUUUAAGAGCUUCUUCCUGGCAGAUCCCGCACUACGCCUAGCUGUCGCGGGACUUUAGAAACAAGGAAGUCGGGAGGUUACCGGUAGUUUGGAGUGUGUGUUCCUGCACUUUUAUAAGGAAAUAUCCAGGUCUGUUGAAUGUGUCCUAAAUGUGUGUGAACCCCACUGCGCUGAGGGAGAACUGAACAGCGGGACAGCAGGGGAGAAAAGGCACAGAAGAAAGCCGUGAUUUGCUUCCGGGUGUGUUUGGCGCGCCAGCAGCACACCGGAGUGAGAG